Long non-coding RNA from Helicoverpa zea (corn earworm), 688 nucleotides. RefSeq lists it as uncharacterized. The record is from RefSeq and is a predicted model, not a curated record. Lineage: Eukaryota; Metazoa; Arthropoda; Insecta; Lepidoptera; Noctuidae. The transcript is spliced from 2 exons.
UGUAUUUGAAAAUGGAUCUCAAUGAGAGACGCCGUGCGUGAAUCUGCUAAACGCACCUACGCGCGUGAGUGCGCAAAAAACCCGCACGAUGAUGCAGAUCUAGACUCCCGCAGGAACGCGCGUAGGUGCGUCGACACACAAUAUGCAGCGCGAUGCGGGGCAGUGUAAAGAUCACCUAAGCCAGCAGUAACUCUAACACUGCCCCGGAGUAAAACUCUAGUUGUGCAGAUGGCGCCAUAGUCGACUGCAAUGUAAACAGGGGAUUCCUCUUUCUGCGGCCCUCCGCCCGACUUGCUAGCUUGGACUAUAUUUCCUUCGUCGAUGGAACAAUAUUUUGAUAAUUUAUAUAAAAUUCCCAAAAAUCCUGAAAAAUCCGGACCAAAACGAAAGGAUACAGUUUUCCCCAUUGCCUCGGUGCGAUAGAUGGGAAGCGUAUUACCAAAUUUUUUAGCACCAGCUCAUACCGGAUCAGAAUAUUUUAAUUACAAAGGAAGUUUCAGCAUCGUUUUAUUAGCCCUUGUAGAUAGUGAUUACUGUUUCUUGUUUGCUGACAUAGGAAGCCAAGGGAGUGUAUUAAAUCAAAGCAAUUUGUGGAAAAAAUAUGUAAUGGGACCCUUAAUUUAAAUACGUACUUACACAAAAUGAGUAAAUACGUACUUACUAUUCAAUAAUAAAUAUUGGAAACUAA